RNAcentral lists this ribosomal RNA (1393 nucleotides) under Staphylococcus haemolyticus. RNAcentral's name for it is "bacterial SSU rRNA". It matches the Rfam family "Bacterial small subunit ribosomal RNA", at positions 74 to 1452 of the family's 1533-position model. The record is from RNAcentral. Lineage: Bacteria; Bacillati; Bacillota; Bacilli; Caryophanales; Staphylococcaceae.
AGGAGCUUGCUCCUUUGACGUUAGCGGCGGACGGGUGAGUAACACGUGGGUAACCUACCUAUAAGACUGGGAUAACUUCGGGAAACCGGAGCUAAUACCGGAUAAUAUUUCGAACCGCAUGGUUCGAUAGUGAAAGAUGGUUUUGCUAUCACUUAUAGAUGGACCCGCGCCGUAUUAGCUAGUUGGUAAGGUAACGGCUUACCAAGGCGACGAUACGUAGCCGACCUGAGAGGGUGAUCGGCCACACUGGAACUGAGACACGGUCCAGACUCCUACGGGAGGCAGCAGUAGGGAAUCUUCCGCAAUGGGCGAAAGCCUGACGGAGCAACGCCGCGUGAGUGAUGAAGGUCUUCGGAUCGUAAAACUCUGUUAUUAGGGAAGAACAUACGUGUAAGUAACUGUGCACGUCUUGACGGUACCUAAUCAGAAAGCCACGGCUAACUACGUGCCAGCAGCCGCGGUAAUACGUAGGUGGCAAGCGUUAUCCGGAAUUAUUGGGCGUAAAGCGCGCGUAGGCGGUUUUUUAAGUCUGAUGUGAAAGCCCACGGCUCAACCGUGGAGGGUCAUUGGAAACUGGAAAACUUGAGUGCAGAAGAGGAAAGUGGAAUUCCAUGUGUAGCGGUGAAAUGCGCAGAGAUAUGGAGGAACACCAGUGGCGAAGGCGACUUUCUGGUCUGUAACUGACGCUGAUGUGCGAAAGCGUGGGGAUCAAACAGGAUUAGAUACCCUGGUAGUCCACGCCGUAAACGAUGAGUGCUAAGUGUUAGGGGGUUUCCGCCCCUUAGUGCUGCAGCUAACGCAUUAAGCACUCCGCCUGGGGAGUACGACCGCAAGGUUGAAACUCAAAGGAAUUGACGGGGACCCGCACAAGCGGUGGAGCAUGUGGUUUAAUUCGAAGCAACGCGAAGAACCUUACCAAAUCUUGACAUCCUUUGACAACUCUAGAGAUAGAGCCUUCCCCUUCGGGGGACAAAGUGACAGGUGGUGCAUGGUUGUCGUCAGCUCGUGUCGUGAGAUGUUGGGUUAAGUCCCGCAACGAGCGCAACCCUUAAGCUUAGUUGCCAUCAUUAAGUUGGGCACUCUAAGUUGACUGCCGGUGACAAACCGGAGGAAGGUGGGGAUGACGUCAAAUCAUCAUGCCCCUUAUGAUUUGGGCUACACACGUGCUACAAUGGACAAUACAAAGGGCAGCGAAACCGCGAGGUCAAGCAAAUCCCAUAAAGUUGUUCUCAGUUCGGAUUGUAGUCUGCAACUCGACUACAUGAAGCUGGAAUCGCUAGUAAUCGUAGAUCAGCAUGCUACGGUGAAUACGUUCCCGGGUCUUGUACACACCGCCCGUCACACCACGAGAGUUUGUAACACCCGAAGCCGGUGGAGUAACCAUUGGAGCUAG